CCUACGGGUGGCUGCAGUGAGGAAUAUUGGUCAAUGGGCGCGAGCCUGAACCAGCCAAGUAGCGUGAAGGAUGACUGCCCUACGGGUUGUAAACUUCUUUUAUAAAGGAAUAAAGUGAGGCACGUGUGCCUUUUUGCAUGUACUUUACGAAUAAGGACCGGCUAAUUCCGUGCCAGCAGCCGCGGUAAUACGGAGGACCCGAGCGUUAUCCGGAUUUAUUGGGUUUAAAGGGAGCGUAGAUGGGUUGUUAAGUCAGUUGUGAAAGUGUGCGGCUCAACCGUAAAAUUGCAAUUGAUACUGGCAGUCUUGAGUACAGUUGAGGUAGGCGGAAUUCGUGGUGUAGCGGUGAAAUGCUUAGAUAUCACGAAGAACUCCGAUUGCGAAGGCAGCUUACUAAGCUGCCACUGACGUUGAUGCUCGAAGGUGUGGGUAUCAAACAGGAUUAGAUACCCGUGUAGUC
RNAcentral lists this ribosomal RNA (460 nucleotides) under uncultured bacterium. Its description in RNAcentral is "partial 16S ribosomal RNA". It matches the Rfam family "Bacterial small subunit ribosomal RNA", at positions 338 to 795 of the family's 1533-position model. The record is from RNAcentral.